Molecule: ribosomal RNA, 534 nt
Filed under: Streptococcus pneumoniae
Lineage: Bacteria; Bacillati; Bacillota; Bacilli; Lactobacillales; Streptococcaceae
Description: partial 23S ribosomal RNA
Rfam family: Bacterial large subunit ribosomal RNA
Source: RNAcentral
GGUUAAGUUAAUAAGGGCGCACGGUGGAUGCCUUGGCACUAGGAGCCGACGAAGGACGUGACAAACGACGAUAUGCCUUGGGUAGCUGUAAGUAAGCGAUGAUCCAGGGAUUUCCGAAUGGGGGAACCCAACAGGUAGUACCUGUUACCCACAUCUGUUAAGGAUGUGAGGAGGAAGACGCAGUGAACUGAAACAUCUAAGUAGCUGCAGGAAGAGAAAGCAAAAGCGAUUGCCUUAGUAGCGGCGAGCGAAACGGCAGAAGGGCAAACCGAAGAGUUUACUCUUCGGGGUUGUAGGACUGCAAUGUGGACUCAAAGAUUAUAGAAGAAUGAUUUGGGAAGAUCAGCCAAAGAGAGUAAUAGCCUCGUAUUUAAAAUAGUCUUUGUACCUAGCAGUAUCCUGAGUACGGCGGGACACGUGAAAUCCCGUCGGAAUCUGGGAGGACCAUCUCCCAACCCUAAAUACUCCCUAGUGACCGAUAGUGAACCAGUACCGUGAGGGAAAGGUGAAAAGCACCCCGGGAGGGGAGUGAAA